RNAcentral lists this unclassified non-coding RNA (195 nucleotides) under plant metagenome. RNAcentral describes it as "partial contains small subunit ribosomal RNA and internal transcribed spacer 1". The stretch from base 1 to 47 matches the Rfam family "Eukaryotic small subunit ribosomal RNA", at positions 1785 to 1831 of the family's 1831-position model. The record is from RNAcentral.
AAUGUCGUAACAAGGUUUCCGUAGGUGAACCUGCGGAAGGAUCAUUAAUGAAAUGCAAGGACGCUCUUUUCAGAGGUCCGACCCAAAGUCAUUUUCCUUUACACUGUGCACAUACACUAUUCUACACCAUUUUUUGAUACGCAAUAGUCUAAGAAUGUAAAACUCAGUCUCGAAAUGAGCAAUAAAGUAAUAAAU